AAGGGGACGCAGCGGGCGCGCUGCCACCUCGGGGGCUGGCACCGCCCCCCCCCCAAUUUAACUCUCCCCAAACGGUUGAAAAGCCCCCGAGAGCGAUCCCGAGGUCCCUGACCACGUCCCCACUGCGCUUUCGCGAGCCUCUUGCUGCUGAGAUUCAUCAGUGGUGCAGCUGGAUUUCAUCUGACACAGUCCACAAAGAGCUUGCUUGCUGGGACUCCCUUGGAUAUUUUGCCCAAUAAAGGGAUUUGAUUGCAACUCCUUGUGAAAUUAGUAAUGAUAUAGACGUGCCUGGAGGCUUCAGUUUGGAUCAUGACUCCAUUAAGCUAGGAACUGUACAUACAUGUAGUAAGACACAGCCCUGAGGAGCUUGAAAUCUAAACAGAGAAGACAAACUGAGGCUGAGAUGGAAGCAUGAAGUUCCUGCAGCCCCAGAGGAGUGUGUUAGAUGGCAUCGUGAAAGUAGAGCAAAGAAGCUGGAAUCCAGCUACAGCUAAAAUAUAGGGGUACUUUAAAAUGAGAAUAUUUCUUCACUCUGGACCAGGACAAGCCUCCUCUAGAAAGUGCAAGAGACUUCAGAUGUGUCUGCAAAAUAACAGUUGGCUUUAUUUUACUGCAAACCCUUGUCUUAAUAGAAGUGGGGAAAUGGGCCACAAGCUUGCUUAAUAAAACUGACAAUCUCCAGACUGUUUCCAGAGUAAAGUUUAUAUUCCCUUGCUGAUGGCCAUCAACUUCCAGUGACUUCCACAGGAAAUGAAGCUGCUUCAUAUCUGCC
Molecule: long non-coding RNA, 772 nt
Organism: Dromaius novaehollandiae (emu)
Lineage: Eukaryota; Metazoa; Chordata; Aves; Casuariiformes; Dromaiidae
Exons: 5
Source: RefSeq, a predicted model, not a curated record